Molecule: ribosomal RNA, 235 nt
Filed under: uncultured Enterobacterales bacterium
Lineage: Bacteria; Pseudomonadati; Pseudomonadota; Gammaproteobacteria; Enterobacterales
Description: partial 16S ribosomal RNA
Rfam family: Bacterial small subunit ribosomal RNA
Source: RNAcentral
UGGCGGACGGGUGAGUAAUGUCUGGGAAACUGCCUGAUGGAGGGGGAUAACUACUGGAAACGGUAGCUAAUACCGCAUAACGUCGCAAGACCAAAGAGGGGGACCUUCGGGCCUCUUGCCAUCAGAUGUGCCCAGAUGGGAUUAGCUAGUAGGUGGGGUAACGGCUCACCUAGGCGACGAUCCCUAGCUGGUCUGAGGGGAUGACCAGCCACACUGGAACUGAGACACGGUCCAG